RNAcentral lists this unclassified non-coding RNA (307 nucleotides) under plant metagenome. Its description in RNAcentral is "partial contains 5.8S ribosomal RNA, internal transcribed spacer 2, and large subunit ribosomal RNA". The stretch from base 1 to 105 matches the Rfam family "5.8S ribosomal RNA", at positions 50 to 154 of the family's 154-position model. The record is from RNAcentral.
GAAAUGCGAUAAGUAGUGUGAAUUGCAGAAUUCAGUGAAUCAUCGAAUCUUUGAACGCACAUUGCGCCCUUUGGUAUUCCAAAGGGCAUGCCUGUUCGAGCGUCAUUUGUACCCUCAAGCUUUGCUUGGUGUUGGGCGUCUUGUCUCUAGCUUUGCUGGAGACUCGCCUUAAAGUAAUUGGCAGCCGGCCUACUGGUUUCGAAGCGCAGCACAAGUCGCACUCUCUAUCAGCAAAGGUCUAGCAUCCAUUAAGCCUUUUUUCAACUUUUGACCUCGGAUCAGGUAGGGAUACCCGCUGAACUUAAGC